CUAGCUUUAGCGAUGGAUCGGUUGCAUCGAGUAUCGAUGAAGAACGCAGCUUGCUGCGUUAAUUACCAUGRAUUGCAGACGCUUAGAAUGGUAAACUUUCGAACGCAUAGCACCGUUGGGUCCUCCCAUCGGUACGUCUGGUUCAGGGUUGUU
RNAcentral lists this ribosomal RNA (153 nucleotides) under Caenorhabditis portoensis. RNAcentral's name for it is "5.8S ribosomal RNA". It matches the Rfam family "5.8S ribosomal RNA". From Rfam's summary of the family: 5.8S ribosomal RNA (5.8S rRNA) is a component of the large subunit of the eukaryotic ribosome. Lineage: Eukaryota; Metazoa; Nematoda; Chromadorea; Rhabditida; Rhabditidae. The record is from RNAcentral.